This 2923-nucleotide ribosomal RNA is filed under the name Klebsiella pneumoniae. Its description in RNAcentral is "23S ribosomal RNA". It matches the Rfam family "Bacterial large subunit ribosomal RNA". Lineage: Bacteria; Pseudomonadati; Pseudomonadota; Gammaproteobacteria; Enterobacterales; Enterobacteriaceae. The record is from RNAcentral.
GGGUUGUGAGGUUAAGCGACUAAGCGUACACGGUGGAUGCCCUGGCAGUCAGAGGCGAUGAAGGACGUGCUAAUCUGCGAAAAGCGUCGGUAAGGUGAUAUGAACCGUUACAGCCGGCGAUGUCCGAAUGGGGAAACCCAGUGCAAUUCGUUGCACUAUCGUUAACUGAAUACAUAGGUUAACGAGGCGAACCGGGGGAACUGAAACAUCUAAGUACCCCGAGGAAAAGAAAUCAACCGAGAUUCCCCCAGUAGCGGCGAGCGAACGGGGAGCAGCCCAGAGUCUGAAUCAGCUUGUGUGUUAGUGGAACGGUCUGGAAAGUCCGACGGUACAGGGUGAUAGUCCCGUACACCAAAAUGCACAGGUUGUGAACUCGAAGAGUAGGGCGGGACACGUGGUAUCCUGUCUGAAUAUGGGGGGACCAUCCUCCAAGGCUAAAUACUCCUGACUGACCGAUAGUGAACCAGUACCGUGAGGGAAAGGCGAAAAGAACCCCGGCGAGGGGAGUGAAAAAGAACCUGAAACCGUGUACGUACAAGCAGUGGGAGCACCUUCGGGUGUGACUGCGUACCUUUUGUAUAAUGGGUCAGCGACUUAUAUUCUGUAGCAAGGUUAACCGUAUAGGGGAGCCGCAGGGAAACCGAGUCUUAACUGGGCGUUAAGUUGCAGGGUAUAGACCCGAAACCCGGUGAUCUAGCCAUGGGCAGGUUGAAGGUUGGGUAACACUAACUGGAGGACCGAACCGACUAAUGUUGAAAAAUUAGCGGAUGACUUGUGGCUGGGGGUGAAAGGCCAAUCAAACCGGGAGAUAGCUGGUUCUCCCCGAAAGCUAUUUAGGUAGCGCCUCGUGAACUCAUCUUCGGGGGUAGAGCACUGUUUCGGCUAGGGGGUCAUCCCGACUUACCAACCCGAUGCAAACUACGAAUACCGAAGAAUGUUAUCACGGGAGACACACGGCGGGUGCUAACGUCCGUCGUGAAGAGGGAAACAACCCAGACCGCCAGCUAAGGUCCCAAAGUCAUGGUUAAGUGGGAAACGAUGUGGGAAGGCACAGACAGCCAGGAUGUUGGCUUAGAAGCAGCCAUCAUUUAAAGAAAGCGUAAUAGCUCACUGGUCGAGUCGGCCUGCGCGGAAGAUGUAACGGGGCUAAACCAUGCACCGAAGCUGCGGCAGCGACACUAUGUGUUGUUGGGUAGGGGAGCGUUCUGUAAGCCUGCGAAGGUGACCUGUGAGGGUUGCUGGAGGUAUCAGAAGUGCGAAUGCUGACAUAAGUAACGAUAAAGCGGGUGAAAAGCCCGCUCGCCGGAAGACCAAGGGUUCCUGUCCAACGUUAAUCGGGGCAGGGUGAGUCGACCCCUAAGGCGAGGCCGAAAGGCGUAGUCGAUGGGAAACAGGUUAAUAUUCCUGUACUUGGUGUUACUGCGAAGGGGGGACGGAGAAGGCUAUGUUAGCCGGGCGACGGUUGUCCCGGUUUAAGCAUGUAGGCUGGUUAUCCAGGCAAAUCCGGAUAAUCAAGGCUGAGGUGUGAUGACGAGGCACUACGGUGCUGAAGUAACAAAUGCCCUGCUUCCAGGAAAAGCCUCUAAGCAUCAGGUAACAUCAAAUCGUACCCCAAACCGACACAGGUGGUCAGGUAGAGAAUACCAAGGCGCUUGAGAGAACUCGGGUGAAGGAACUAGGCAAAAUGGUGCCGUAACUUCGGGAGAAGGCACGCUGGUGUGUAGGUGAAGUCCCUGCGGAUGGAGCUGAGACCAGUCGAAGAUACCAGCUGGCUGCAACUGUUUAUUAAAAACACAGCACUGUGCAAACACGAAAGUGGACGUAUACGGUGUGACGCCUGCCCGGUGCCGGAAGGUUAAUUGAUGGGGUUAUCCGUAAGGAGAAGCUCUUGAUCGAAGCCCCGGUAAACGGCGGCCGUAACUAUAACGGUCCUAAGGUAGCGAAAUUCCUUGUCGGGUAAGUUCCGACCUGCACGAAUGGCGUAAUGAUGGCCAGGCUGUCUCCACCCGAGACUCAGUGAAAUUGAACUCGCUGUGAAGAUGCAGUGUACCCGCGGCAAGACGGAAAGACCCCGUGAACCUUUACUAUAGCUUGACACUGAACAUUGAGCCUUGAUGUGUAGGAUAGGUGGGAGGCUUUGAAGCGUGGACGCCAGUCUGCGUGGAGCCAACCUUGAAAUACCACCCUUUAAUGUUUGAUGUUCUAACGUUGGCCCCUGACCGGGGUUGCGGACAGUGUCUGGUGGGUAGUUUGACUGGGGCGGUCUCCUCCCAAAGCGUAACGGAGGAGCACGAAGGUUAGCUAAUCCUGGUCGGACAUCAGGAGGUUAGUGCAAUGGCAUAAGCUAGCUUGACUGCGAGCGUGACGGCGCGAGCAGGUGCGAAAGCAGGUCAUAGUGAUCCGGUGGUUCUGAAUGGAAGGGCCAUCGCUCAACGGAUAAAAGGUACUCCGGGGAUAACAGGCUGAUACCGCCCAAGAGUUCAUAUCGACGGCGGUGUUUGGCACCUCGAUGUCGGCUCAUCACAUCCUGGGGCUGAAGUAGGUCCCAAGGGUAUGGCUGUUCGCCAUUUAAAGUGGUACGCGAGCUGGGUUUAGAACGUCGUGAGACAGUUCGGUCCCUAUCUGCCGUGGGCGCUGGAGAAUUGAGGGGGGCUGCUCCUAGUACGAGAGGACCGGAGUGGACGCAUCACUGGUGUUCGGGUUGUCAUGCCAAUGGCACUGCCCGGUAGCUAAAUGCGGAAGAGAUAAGUGCUGAAAGCAUCUAAGCACGAAACUUGCCCCGAGAUGAGUUCUCCCUGAGACUUUAAGUCUCCUGAAGGAACGUUAAAGACGAUGACGUUGAUAGGCCGGGUGUGUAAGCGCAGCGAUGCGUUGAGCUAACCGGUACUAAUGAACCGUGAGGCUUAACCUUACAACGCCGAAG